Molecule: ribosomal RNA, 430 nt
Filed under: uncultured archaeon
Lineage: Archaea
Description: bacterial SSU rRNA
Rfam family: Archaeal small subunit ribosomal RNA
Source: RNAcentral
UACCUGCAGCUCGAGUGGUAACCGCUAUUAUCGGGCCUAAAGCGUCCGUAGCCGGUUUGGUAAAUAUCUGGGUAAAUCGUGAGGCUUAACUUCACGAAUUUCGGAUAGACUGCCAGACUUGGGAUCGGGGGAGGUCAGAGGUACUCCAGGGGUAGCGGUGAAAUGUUGUAAUCCUUGGAGGACCACCGGUAGCGAAGGCGUCUGACUAGAACGAGUCCGACGGUGAGGGACGAAGCCCUGGGGCGCAAACCGGAUUAGAUACCCCGGGUAGUCCAGGGUGUAAACGAUGUGGGCUUUGUAUUGGAGGUCCCACGUGGGCGUCCAGUGCAGAAGAGAAGUUGUUAAGCCCACCGCCUGGGAAGUACGGUAGCAAGGCUGAAACUUAAAGGAAUUGGCGGGGGAGCACAGCAACGGGAGGAGCGUGCGGUUU